UCGGGGACUCUAGAGAUUAGAGUUUGAUCCUGGCUCAGGAUGAACGCUGGCGGCAUGCCUAAGACAUGCAAGUCGAACGAAGUUAAUAUUUGAGGAGAAGUACUUGUACGGAAACGAAGAUAUCAACUUAGUGGCGAACGGGUGAGUAACACGUAGGUAACCUACCUUUAAGACGGGGACAACAGUUGGAAACGACUGCUAAUACCGGAUAGUAUAUGUUUAAGCAUUUAAAUAUAUUUAAAGGAGCGAAUGCUUCACUUAGAGAUGGGCCUGCGUUGUAUUAGCUAGUUGGUAAGGUAAGAGCUUACCAAGGCAACGAUGCAUAGCCGAGCUGAGAGGCUGAUCGGCCACACUGGAACUGAGACACGGUCCAGACUCCUACGGGAGGCAGCAGUUAGGAAUAUUGGGCAAUGGGCGAAAGCCUGACCCAGCAAUGCCGCGUGUGCGAAGAAGUUCUUCGGAAUGUAAAGCACUGUUGUAAGUGAAAAAAGGCUCAAGAGGAAAUGCUUGAGAUUUGAUGUUAACUUACUAGAAAGUCACGGCUAACUACGUGCCAGCAGCCGCGGUAAUACGUAGGUGGCAAGCGUUAUCCGGAAUUAUUGGGCGUAAAGGGUGCGUAGGCGGCAUAACAAGUCUGAUGUAAAAGGCUAUGGCUCAACCAUAGUAGGCAUCGGAAACUGUUAAGCUAGAGUGUAAGAGAGGCAAGUGGAAUUUCUUGUGUAGCGGUAAAAUGCGUAAAUAUAAGAAGGAACACCAGUGGCGAAGGCGACUUGCUGGCUUACAACUGACGCUGAGGCACGAAAGCGUAGGGAGCAAAUAGGAUUAGAUACCCUAGUAGUCCACGCCGUAAACGAUGAGUGCUAAGUGUUGGGCAGGAUACUGUUCAGUGCUGAAGUUAACGCAUUAAGCACUCCGCCUGAGGAGUACGGUCGCAAGGCUGAAACUUAAAGGAAUUGACGGGUCCCCGCACAAGCGGUGGAGCAUGUGGUUUAAUUCGAUGAUACGCGAGGAACCUUACCUGGACUUAAAUGUAAAAUGCUUUCUAUAGAGAUAUAGGAUUCUUCGGACAUUUUACAAGGUGCUGCAUGGUUGUCGUCAGCUCGUGCCGUGAGGUGUCGGGUUAAGUCCCAUAACGAGCGCAACCCACGUUGUUAGUUACCAGCACGUCAAGGUGGGGACUCUAACAAGACUGCCGGUGUAAACCGCGAGGAAGGUGUGGAUGACGUCAAAUCAGCACGGCCCUUACGUCCAGGGCUACACACGUGUUACAAUGGUCGGUACAGAGGGUCGCUACUAUGUGAAUAGAUGCUAAUCUCGAAAGCCGAUCUCAGUUCGGAUCGAAGUCUGCAACCCGACUUCGUGAAGCUGGAUUCGCUAGUAAUCGCGCAUCAGCCAUGGCGCGGUGAAUACGUUCCCGGGCCUUGUACACACCGCCCGUCAAACCAUGGAAGCCGGGGGUACCUGAAGUCUGUGACCGUAAGGAGCGGCCUAGGGUAAAUCUGGUAACUAGGGUUAAGUCGUAACAAGGCCGUAAAUCGUCGACUGCAGCAGCA
RNAcentral lists this ribosomal RNA (1553 nucleotides) under uncultured bacterium. Its description in RNAcentral is "partial 16S ribosomal RNA". It matches the Rfam family "Bacterial small subunit ribosomal RNA". The record is from RNAcentral.